UGCUUGUUGGGGUGUUGUAUUAUAGGUUUGGCCUGCUCGGUGUUGGUAUUAACAGCCGCGGUAUUUUGACUGUGCAAAGGUAGCAUAAUCAUUAGUUAUUUAAUUGGUAUCUGGAAUGAAUGGUUUGACGGGGGAGUGUUGUUUAGGAGGGUUAUUUUGAAUUUUAAUUUUUUGUGAGGAUGCGGAAAUGGUGCUAUUUGACGAGAAGACCCUAUAAAGCUUUAGUAUUGUAUUUGGGGUUUUGUUUUUUUUAUUUUUGUUGGGGCAACUUGAUUUAUUAGGAAAUUAUUAUUAUUUUGGUGGAUGUAUUAUUUUUAGACUUUUAUUUGAUCCAGUUUUGUUGAUAUAUAGGUAAGCUACUUUAGGGAUAACAGCGUAAUUAUAUUGGAAAGUUCUUAUUGAUGGUGUAGUUUGCGACCUCGAUGUUGAAUUAAGAGUCUUUUUGGCUGUAGUGGGUUGAAUGGGAGGUCUGUUCGACCUUUAUACUNUUACA
Molecule: ribosomal RNA, 493 nt
Filed under: Geophilus electricus
Lineage: Eukaryota; Metazoa; Arthropoda; Chilopoda; Geophilomorpha; Geophilidae
Description: partial 16S ribosomal RNA
Rfam family: Bacterial large subunit ribosomal RNA
Source: RNAcentral